RNAcentral lists this ribosomal RNA (460 nucleotides) under uncultured bacterium. RNAcentral's name for it is "partial 16S ribosomal RNA". It matches the Rfam family "Bacterial small subunit ribosomal RNA", at positions 338 to 795 of the family's 1533-position model. The record is from RNAcentral.
CCUACGGGCGGCAGCAGUGAGGAAUAUUGGUCAAUGGACGAGAGUCUGAACCAGCCAAGUAGCGUGAAGGAUGACUGCCCUAUGGGUUGUAAACUUCUUUUAUAUGGGAAUAAAAUGUUCCACGUGUGGGAUUUUGUAUGUACCAUAUGAAUAAGGAUCGGCUAACUCCGUGCCAGCAGCCGCGGUAAUACGGAGGAUCCGAGCGUUAUCCGGAUUUAUUGGGUUUAAGGGGAGCGUAGGUGGAUUGUUAAGUCAGUUGUGAAAGUUUGCGGCUCAACCGUAAAAUUGCAGUUGAAACUGGCAGUCUUGAGUACAGUAGAGGUGGGCGGAAUUCGUGGUGUAGCGGUGAAAUGCUUAGAUAUCACGAAGAACUCCGAUUGCGAAGGCAGUUCACUGGACUGCAACUGACACUGAGGCUCGAAAGUGUGGGUAUCAAACAGGAGUAGAUACCCCAGUAGUC